Manis pentadactyla (Chinese pangolin) is the source of this 136-nucleotide small nucleolar RNA. The record is from RefSeq and is a predicted model, not a curated record. Lineage: Eukaryota; Metazoa; Chordata; Mammalia; Pholidota; Manidae.
GAGGCCCUGACUGAAGACCAGCAAUUACACUAUGGCUGUUGGUUUCAAGCAGAGGCCCAAAGACUGUCUUUCUUAUCACCUGCUGGCUGUUCUGGAAACUCAGCAGAGAAUGGCUGUUUCACCGGAAGACACAACC